This is a long non-coding RNA of Peromyscus leucopus (white-footed mouse), 390 nucleotides long. RefSeq lists it as uncharacterized. NCBI's taxonomy places the organism in Eukaryota, Metazoa, Chordata, Mammalia, Rodentia, Cricetidae. The record is from RefSeq and is a predicted model, not a curated record. The transcript has 3 exons.
AAUGUAACCAAGGCAUUUAGGCAGUGGCCACGAUUGCCUGGUAAGGUGAGAUUCUAACUGGAGCUGCCUUCCUCUGGGAUCCUUCCUCAACUCACUCACCUAAAGAAAGGCCUUCAACAGUGAGUGUCCUCACAGACAAGGUGGAAGCUCAAGGAGAGAAAAUCCGGGACCUUGAAGUGUGUCUGGAAGGACACCAGGUGAAACUCAAUGCUGCCGAAGAGAUGCUUCAGCAGGAGCUGCUAAGUCGCACAUCUUUGGAGACCCAGAAGCUGGAUCUGAUGACUGAGGUGUCUGAGCUGAAGCUCAAGCUGGUUGGUAUGGAGAAAGAACAGAGAGAACAAGAGGAAAAACAGAGAAAAGCAGAGGUGAGUGUGAUGCAUCACAUCAGGG